AAUUGAUGCCAACAAUAUCAACUCAUCAGUUUGGUCAGCGAAGACAUCAUCAUUAGCAAUGUGGUACAAGUUCCAUGACAUACUCAAGUGCCAUAACGAACCGAUGAUAAUCAGAACACGCUUUAUCUGAGUGAAUAUUUUCUCAUAUUCUAUCUACAUUUGUUUUGUGUCUCGAGGUGCUUCGUUAUCGAAGAGGCUAUGACUGACAUUAAACUAUUGUUCCAUGUAUCCUCUUGUUCUUU
This 242-nucleotide long non-coding RNA is filed under the name Zea mays. Its description in RNAcentral is "long non-coding RNA (ZMAY_LNC000053)". The record is from RNAcentral. Lineage: Eukaryota; Viridiplantae; Streptophyta; Magnoliopsida; Poales; Poaceae.